This 587-nucleotide ribosomal RNA is filed under the name uncultured bacterium. RNAcentral describes it as "bacterial SSU rRNA". It matches the Rfam family "Bacterial small subunit ribosomal RNA", at positions 102 to 684 of the family's 1533-position model. The record is from RNAcentral.
ACGGGUGAGUAAUGCUUAGGAAUCUGCCUAUUAGUGGGGGACAACAUCUCGAAAGGGAUGCUAAUACCGCAUACGUCCUACGGGAGUAAGCAGGGGACCUUCGGGCCUUGCGCUAAUAGAUGAGCCUAAGUCGGAUUAGCUAGUUGGUGGGGUAAAGGCCUACCAAGGCGACGAUCUGUAGCGGGUCUGAGAGGAUGAUCCGCCACACUGGGACUGAGACACGGCCCAGACUCCUACGGGAGGCAGCAGUGGGGAAUAUUGGACAAUGGGGGGAACCCUGAUCCAGCCAUGCCGCGUGUGUGAAGAAGGCCUUUUGGUUGUAAAGCACUUUAAGCGAGGAGGAGGCUACCGAGAUUAAUACUCUUGGAUAGUGGACGUUACUCGCAGAAUAAGCACCGGCUAACUCUGUGCCAGCAGCCGCGGUAAUACAGAGGGUGCAAGCGUUAAUCGGAUUUACUGGGCGUAAAGCGCGCGUAGGUGGCCAAUUAAGUCAAAUGUGAAAUCCCCGAGCUUAACUUGGGAAUUGCAUUCGAUACUGGUUGGCUAGAGUAUGGGAGAGGAUGGUAGAAUUCCAGGUGUAGCGGUGA